GGCGCGGCCGUCAUGGCGGAUGCGCUGAGGCCUCGUCCCUAACACGCGUCCCAGGCGGCUCUGGGAAAAGGAGGAGGAGCCGCUGAGGCCGUCAUGGAGGACGGGUUGAGGCUCGGGGCCCGUGGCGGACCCCGAAGCAGGAGCUCCCGAGCCGCUCGCAAAGGCGCAAGUAGUAAAGAAACAAGUGCUUCAAAAAGUGAAGAGGCUUCUAGAAGGAAAGCUGAACUGGAGGCAGCUAUUAGAAAGAAAAUUGAAUACGAGAGGAAAGCCUUGAAUAUUGUUGAACAGCUUUUGGAAGAAGACAUUACGGAAGAAUUCCUUGUGCAAUCUGGGAAGCAGAUUACACCUGCACAUUACAAGGAUGUUGUGGAAGAACGCUUUAUCACCCAUCUCUGUGGUUACCCUUUAUGUCACAACAAGCUAGGAAAUGUGCCAAAACAGAAGUAUAGGAUUUCUACCAAAACAAAUAAAGUCUAUGAUAUAACUGAAAGAAAGUUUUUCUGCAGCAAUUUUUGUUAUCGAGCAUCUAAGUACUUUGAAGCCCAGAUUUCCAAAAGUCCAUUGUGGGUGCGAGAAGAAGAAAGACCUCCUGAUUUUCAGCUGCUAAAGGAAGGACAAAGUGGUCAUUCUGGUGAAGAAGUCAGGUUAUGUGAUGAGGCUGUUAAGACGUCGGACAUUGAAAAUCCUGACCGGUCGAGAAGCCAGGAUGAGUCUGGUUCCUCCAGCACCCACAGUCACAGUAGCAGUGAGGAUGAGCAAGAAUUUGUUUCUUCCCUUCUACCAGGAAAAAAACCAAAUGCGACCCCUGGAAGGCAGCAGCCAUAUCCAAAAAGCAUCCUGAAAAAGAGGCCUGGCCAGAAAGCAAACUUCAGACACCAAGACAAAGACCCAUCAGUAGCAGAUGUGGCCGAGCGAUUGAACAGGUGUACACUAGACAGCCCGGAGAAAACAGCCACCUGUGACCUUUGCUUACAAGAGGAAAAAACCUGUGUUUCCCCAGAUUUUUCCUCAGAAAAAUCAAAAGCCUCAGAAAAUUCUGAAGACGGUUGUGACAGUUCACAGGUAACUCUGGUAGGCAUAAGCAAAAAAGGAGCGGAACAUUUUAGGAGGAAAUUUGCAAAGUUGAACCAGCCUGCCCAGUCAGGUUCUAGUCCAUUGCAGGUGGAGCCUGGGAAUGCCAGAGCAGGCUUGUUUGAAGCCCUCAAAGAGACUUUGGUGGAGUGGAAGACAGAAGAAACGUUAACGUUUUUACAUGGCGAGAACUAUGUCCCCGUCCCUCUGACAGCCUCACCAUCCACUCCCCAGGCAGAAGAUGAAGAAAAGGGCAAGGAGGCCCCAGUGCCAGGGCUGGGGAGUCAGACUGCUGCCGUGGAGUGGGCGUCCCAGAACACCUUGGAUCAGUCUCUGCCGUUCAGUGGCUCAGGCGCUGCCCUUCACCCUCUGCCAAGUUACGAGAGCCUAAAAAAAGAGACCGAAGCCUUGAAUUUAAGGAUUAGGGAGUUCUACAGAGGAAAAUAUGUUCUGGAUGAGCAGUCCCCCAGAGCAGAAACCAGAGACAAGGGUGAUCCCACAUUUCCACUUAUAGAUUCAAGUUCUCAGAACCAGAUUAGAAGACGCAUUGUACUUGAAAAAUUGACUAAAGUAUUGCCUGGAAUUUUGGGUCCUCUUCAGGUUACAUUGAGUGAUAUCUACACUGAACUAAAACAUCUUGUCCAGACUUUCAGGCUGACAAAUAAAAAUAUCAUUCACAAGCCUGCAGAAUGGACCCUAAUUGCUAUUGUAUUAUUAUCGUUGUUGUCGCAGAGGAGCCCGAUGCAGAAGCAUUCCCAGAGAAAUGCCGUGUAUACCCAGUUUAUCACCACGUUACUGGAAGAGUUACAUUUCAAGAAUGAAGACCUUGAAAGGUUAACCAGGAUAUUUGCGGUGAACUGUUUACCUGAAUGACAAAAGAACUGCCAGUCAACAUGGAAAACUUUCCGACGCCUUUCCUCUGGGCCCCUCCCCUUGCUUCACAGACACGUCCAUGGAGAGGCAGCAGAAGAGGAACUUCACUUCCUUCUCCCAGAUCGGGCACUUCAUCAUUUAUGGAGAUUCUGCAACUUUUAUUUUCUUCAUUGAAGUCUCAGCAUCCACAUCUGAGCCAGCGCCUGACUUGCCUGGGUCAGUUCCAGCCAGUGUAACGAUUGGAAUGACGUCGCCUGCUGGAGAAUUACUGUAGGAAAGCUCUGCCAUGAGGAGAAGGCGUCUGAGGGCAAGCCACGCAGUCAGGAUCUUCAGUCUCUCCAUCCUUCAGGUCUCUCACAGGCUGUGGCUGCCCCGCUCCCUUCUGGUGCUGCCCUGCUCCCUUCUGGUGCUGCCCUGCUCCCUCCUGGUUCUCCUCCUUCCUUUGCUGCAUCUUCAUCUUUGUUGUGCCCAGUGACUGUGCGUUCCCCAAGGGCCUGUUUUGGGUGGCCUUCUCUUCACCCUCUAAACUCUGUAGAAUGGUGCUGUCAUCUGCUCCCAAGCAUUCAGAAAUCAUUUCUAUACCAAUGAUUCGUGUGUGUGUGUGUGUGUGUGUGUGUACAUAUGUGUGUGUAUACAUUUAUACAUAUGUGCCUAUAAAUACAUAUACACACAUGCAUACUAGUUUCUCUAGAUAGAUAUACACACGCAUUCACAAAAAAAGAGUGUGUUUGUGUGUGCGUGUGCGCGUGUAUGUGAAUGUGUGUGAUAAUGUGUGUAUAUCCAAACACCCUUAAUUUCUCUUCCUAGUUUUAGUCUCUCAUCAACUGACUUUUGGCUGUCUUGAAGUGGAUGUGUCCCCUAAUCAUAAACUUAGCAUGUCCCAAAGCAGACUUUAAUAUUUGCCUCCCAAAGCUUUCCUUCUUCCCAACUUCCCUAUUACUGUCAGGGACACCACCAUUCCCACAAUCCCCCAGACUCACAACCUGGGUGUGUCCUCUACUCUCAGUUGCACUUAUCCCAUCUGUCCUCAGAUCUUUGUUUCUAACUUCACAGCAUCUCUCAAAUAUACCCCCUUCUCUCUGCUCAUACACCACACCCUAGCAUGGGCUCUCGUUACCAUUUCCCUGCCUCAAGUCUGUCCCCACUCCAUCCGUCCUCUGCCGGGUGAUUUUUCUAAAGUUCAAGUGUGACCAUCUCAUUCCCUUACUCUGUGUACUUCAGUGGCUCCCUAUUACCUCCAGGAUCAAAUAUAAAAUCUUCUGACAUUCAAGAUUUCACAGCCCGGCCCGUUGCCCCCUUUCCAGUCUUCUUAAACGUCACAACCUUAUCACACUGACCCACUUGCUACUCCUAGCACACAGCACUCCCAGACAUGUGCUUUUUCAUUGUCUGACCCCUCUAAGGCCAGGAAUUCUCUUCCUCCUCGCAUCCACUUCCUGCCUGCCUUGUUCUUCAAGGCUCAUAUCCCACCUUCUGCCUUUCUUGGAACCUCCUGCUGAUAGUGCUUUCCCUCUGAGAAGCAGCUCCACCCUGUAUAGCUUGUACUUACAGGGUUUCCCUGUUAGAAUGUAAGCUCCCUGAAGCCAAGGACAGUGAUUGGGGGGGGGGGGGCAUUUCUUUGUAACCCUAAUGCUUAGAGCAGUC
Molecule: RNA transcript, 3588 nt
Organism: Dromiciops gliroides (monito del monte)
Lineage: Eukaryota; Metazoa; Chordata; Mammalia; Microbiotheria; Microbiotheriidae
Gene: RPAP2
Gene name: RNA polymerase II associated protein 2
Exons: 14
Source: RefSeq, a predicted model, not a curated record